AGCCAGCUCUAGGUGCCGGCCUUGUUUAGGCUCAGCCAAUUCCUUGGCAGUUGAUUGGUUCAGGAGCUCUGGUCUAAGCCAAUCAGCACACAGCAGCAUCUCCUGGGGAUCUAGGUUGGUCCAGGCUGGACCCAGGAGGCCCUCUCUCCCUCCUGCUGGGCUCAAGGAAGGAAGCAGGUGGCCUCCGCUGCUCCCUGAGGAAUAAGCUCCCACUGAAGAAGGGACUCCAGAGGACUGCCCACCUCUGGGCUUCCUGUUGUGUUGUGCCAUGUGUAAAUCUGUUGGUGCCUUGACUUUGGAAUUCCCAGCCGCCAGAACUGUGAGAAAUAAAUUUCUAUUGUUUAUAAAUGACCCAGUCUAAGGCAUUUUGUUAUAGCCCAAGACACCACCCCUAUCCAAAGCAGCCGCCCCGUCCUCCCUUGCUGGCUGGUUGCUGUCCAUCUCAUUACCUCGCUGAUUUCAUUUCUGGUCCUUAUGACAGGCUGCGCUUCGUUCUGAAUUCAUUUGU
This 508-nucleotide long non-coding RNA is filed under the name Homo sapiens (human). RNAcentral's name for it is "HSALNT0156022". Lineage: Eukaryota; Metazoa; Chordata; Mammalia; Primates; Hominidae. The record is from RNAcentral.